This is a long non-coding RNA of Esox lucius (northern pike), 2190 nucleotides long. Lineage: Eukaryota; Metazoa; Chordata; Actinopteri; Esociformes; Esocidae. The record is from Ensembl.
GUAGAAGUUUUUGUAUAAAAGCCACGGUCCUGAGCUCAGUAGUUUGGGUGUGUAUCUGCAGAAGGACCUGGCUUUAAUGUCUGUCAUUCUUGUAUGAUCUUCAUUAAAGUCUAUUGGAUUCACAAGUUCCUGAGAUGAAGUGUUUUUGUUUUAGUCGUUGUGGACUUGAGUUUUCCACGACACAACCAAGGAUACCAGGCCACAACCCUACCUUAUCUACGGCCCUGUUCCGUUUGGCGGCAAGUGCAGGUUAUUCCUCCUGGAAUACCAGUCUCUGUCUAUGCUAAGAUGUUCUAUAACAUCUCACAACCAAGUGACGUCUGUGGCCAACUGGAAUAUGAUGUUCUGCAGUUCACCUGUUGUGAUGGAAAACUACACAAUGGGCCGAGGCUGUCCUGCUGCGGAAGCAAUGCCUUCAGCAUCACCCAGGCUUCUUGUUGUCAAGGUCAGCUGACUGUUAAUGUGAGCCAGCUUGUGUCAGAUUGCUGCGGGUACAAAGCCUACGACCCACUCAACUAUCUGUGCUGUAACACACGGAUACUUAAAAGGAACAAACCCUAUUCCAAGUGUUGUGGAAAAGAGGUUUUUGACAGUCACCAGCUUUGCUGUGGAGUGGAAAAGAUAGUCCUGACCAAAAUCUCCAGUAACCACAAGUGUUGUGGAAACCAACAGUAUGACAACAAAAGACAAUGCUGCAAUUAUACUGUAGUAACCACAAGGAAUCUGGAUGGACAAUGCCAUGUAUCAAAUGACACAAUGAUAACAAAACCGGCCCUGACAAAUAGACCUAACAACUGUCCCCCUGGGGAGAAGGGCUGUGGUGGAGCCUGUUAUUACCCGACAACAGAGCAGUGCUGUAAUACCUCUUUCCAGGGGCCAUAUCCCUCUGGCCAGAAAUGCUAUCAAGGUCAGGCUGCUUACUGUGGAUCCUCAUAUUACAAUCCAGAAAAAGAAACAUGUUGUGCUGGGAGUGUGAAAAACAGGGUGCAUGGAAACAAUCUGUGUUGUGGUACAUAUCCCUAUAGUGUAGUGGAUGAAGACCGUUUCUGCUGCAACCAGAGCUUGUCCUACGAGCGGAAGGAGGGAAAGCGCUGCUCCCGGAGUGGCCACUUGUAUCAGCCAGACAGCCAGUUGGUGUGUGAGUCAUAUGUCAACAGACCUGGGAACCACUGCUGUGGAAAGACCACCUACGACCCCCAGACUGAGAUCUGCUGCAACGGGCACAGACACGGCAGUUUUGUGAAUGUGUCCUGCUGUGGGAAGGAGGCCUACAACCGGAGCAGUGGAGAGAAGAAGUGCUGUGCAGGUACCCUGUAUGAUCUGCCCCUUCAGGGCCAGCACACAAAUGAGUCCCAGUGUUGUGGAAGUGUCCUGAUGGAGGCUGGCUCCACACAAACCUGUUGCUUCGCGCCGGGACUUGCCCUGGUCUACACAACCCAACCGGGCUUCAGCUGCUGUGGGCACCUCUACCCUAACACCUCCCUCUGGUCCUGCUGCGCUGGGGUCCUGCAACCAUGGACAGAGCGGCAAACCAGGAACCACAAUGAGAGUCCAGGUCCCAGGCUUCUUCAGCUGGAGGAUCUGUAUGAAGAUGUGUGUCAUAACAAUGUUUACAUAGGGACAGUGGAGACUGUGUCUGUGAGGAAAAACCAGAUGUCUGUUGUGAUGAAGAACGCCGUGUUCUUGAUGCUCUCAAAGAACCAGGUCCGGGCCCUGUCUAACCCUGAAUAUCUGAGGUUGUCUGACCACUGCAGCUCCCCCGAGCUGGUGCCAGGAAACACUUACAUCUGGAUGAAAGCAAAUCGUACCCUGGAGGACAUACGCUUCAUCUCUGACAUCAGUGAUCACCCAUCCCCUAUUUACUCUAUUCUUUCCAUGUGCAGCUUCUGAAUAUAACCAAAAGGUCAGAACAAUGGUUACACACUUUAAAACACAAUGUGAAUUCUGGGUAUUUUUUUCAUAUGCUAUUUUAGAGAAACUUGGUUUUAGUUAACCAUUAUUUGAACAGGUGACGAGCUGAUUCUCAUUUAUAAUGACAACCAGGCCACUUCUCAUAUUCAGUGCCGGGCCUGGGCACAGGCAUCACAUUGCAAGUAUGUUAACUACGUUUAAAACCAGCAUGCUUAUUUUAUCUCAGGAGUCAAAUCCCAGGAAAGGUUUGGUGAUAAACUGUCACAUUACUAAGAUUAC